RNAcentral lists this ribosomal RNA (463 nucleotides) under uncultured Comamonadaceae bacterium. RNAcentral's name for it is "bacterial SSU rRNA". It matches the Rfam family "Bacterial small subunit ribosomal RNA", at positions 910 to 1382 of the family's 1533-position model. Lineage: Bacteria; Pseudomonadati; Pseudomonadota; Betaproteobacteria; Burkholderiales; Comamonadaceae. The record is from RNAcentral.
UUGACGGGACCGCACAAGCGGUGGAUGAUGUGGUUAAUUCGAUGCAACGCGAAAACCUUACCACCUUUGACAUGUACGGAAGUUGCCAGAGAUGGCUUCGUGCUCGAAAGAGAGCCGUAACACAGGUGCUGCAUGGCUGUCGUCAGCUCGUGUCGUGAGAUGUUGGGUUAAGUCCCGCAACGAGCGCAACCCUUGUCAUUAGUUGCUACGAAAGGGCACUCUAAUGAGACUGCCGGUGACAAACCGGAGGAAGGUGGGGAUGACGUCAAGUCCUCAUGGCCCUUAUAGGUGGGGCUACACACGUCAUACAAUGGCUGGUACAAAGGGUUGCCAACCCGCGAGGGGGAGCCAAUCCCAUAAAGCCAGUCGUAGUCCGGAUCGCAGUCUGCAACUCGACUGCGUGAAGUCGGAAUCGCUAGUAAUCGCGGAUCAGCAUGUCGCGGUGAAUACGUUCCCGGGUCUU